This 1089-nucleotide long non-coding RNA is filed under the name Nicotiana benthamiana. RNAcentral's name for it is "long non-coding RNA (NBEN_LNC004076)". The record is from RNAcentral. Lineage: Eukaryota; Viridiplantae; Streptophyta; Magnoliopsida; Solanales; Solanaceae.
CAAACAUACUGAAUCUGAAAUCUUAAAAGCCAAAGCAAUUUCAAUCAUUACAUCCUAAGGAUUUUUAUGUGUGAAUUGAAUUUGUAAAUGAACAACUAAACUAACGCAUUAUAAACCACAAAGUGCCCGAUCUUACACUAAUACAUACAUGCAGUCCAUUUUGGAUUCAAUUUCUGACUCGUAGCUUAUUCUAAGUCUAACUUUCAAAUGUCCAUGAUAGCAAAUCUGAAUUGACUUAUACUACAACUGACAUUUCUAAUACUACUCAUAAAAGUUUUAAUGUCUAGUUAUUAGUACUAACGAAUAUCAUAGAUCUCAAAAUCAGUUUCCAGUUCAAGCUAUUCUCUAAUUUUAAAAGUUAAACUACCACAAUAAAAACAAACUAAACUAUACUAAGGCUAAUGAAUAAUCACUAACCUAACAGUCCAAACAGUCCAUUACAAAUCAUAUUAAUUGCAAUAAGAUACAAUAAAGCCAUAAAAAAGUUAGAAUUUACAACAAAAACUCAUGCGUCAAACUUCACUUCAUUUUCUCAACUUGAGAUCUACAUUGGAACGGAUUCAAGGAGUGUACCUGGAAGUUCAAAAUAUAAUAAGAAGAAGGAGAAAUCAUCAGUAGUAGUGAUCAAAUAGCAGUGUGAAACGGCAGCAGUAAGGAGCCGUUCUAGAACCAAACAUCAUCACAAACCCAUAAAUGAACCCAACAACUAACACGUACAGUAAAUAGCAACAAUAACCAGCUCGAACAUACCAGAUUCAACUCAAAAUUGACUCCAGAAGCGUUUAAAACUGAAUAAGUGAACAAAAACAGGAAACCAUUUUGGAUCUUGGAUAAGCCGGAGAUUUGAAUUAGGAGCUAGAAUUCGAAACUAUUGCAAGGAACUUCAAUGGAAUAGUAUUUUUGGAGUUUUUUUUGUUGUUUUUGGUUUUUUGAAGAUUUAAGAUUUAGAAGGAACUCUCACACUCUCAAAUUUCAGCUUUUGAUUUUGAAUUUUAAAAUUCAAAAUUAUCAGUCCUAAAACUUGUGAGACAAGGCAUAUGGCAUGCCUUUUAUAGGCAUAACUAAGGGCUUCUCUCAGAUUUGCAGUUU